AGGCAAGUCCCGUACAACCAGCUCCUGAAGAACUCCCCCAGGGCGGGAACGCAGCAAGGGUAUUCGGUCGUAGCGGUGUGAUACGGGUAGCUUGCCU
RNAcentral lists this signal recognition particle RNA (97 nucleotides) under marine eukaryotic metagenome. RNAcentral's name for it is "Bacteroidales small SRP". It matches the Rfam family "Bacteroidales small SRP", at positions 8 to 103 of the family's 107-position model. From Rfam's summary of the family: The non-coding component of the signal recognition particle in Bacteroides The record is from RNAcentral.